This 1330-nucleotide ribosomal RNA is filed under the name Escherichia coli. RNAcentral describes it as "partial 23S ribosomal RNA". It matches the Rfam family "Bacterial large subunit ribosomal RNA", at positions 419 to 1752 of the family's 2925-position model. Lineage: Bacteria; Pseudomonadati; Pseudomonadota; Gammaproteobacteria; Enterobacterales; Enterobacteriaceae. The record is from RNAcentral.
GGGACACGUGGUAUCCUGUCUGAAUAUGGGGGGACCAUCCUCCAAGGCUAAAUACUCCUGACUGACCGAUAGUGAACCAGUACCGUGAGGGAAAGGCGAAAAGAACCCCGGCGAGGGGAGUGAAAAAGAACCUGAAACCGUGUACGUACAAGCAGUGGGAGCCUCUUUUAUGGGGUGACUGCGUACCUUUUGUAUAAUGGGUCAGCGACUUAUAUUCUGUAGCAAGGUUAACCGAAUAGGGGAGCCGAAGGGAAACCGAGUCUUAACUGGGCGUUAAGUUGCAGGGUAUAGACCCGAAACCCGGUGAUCUAGCCAUGGGCAGGUUGAAGGUUGGGUAACACUAACUGGAGGACCGAACCGACUAAUGUUGAAAAAUUAGCGGAUGACUUGUGGCUGGGGGUGAAAGGCCAAUCAAACCGGGAGAUAGCUGGUUCUCCCCGAAAGCUAUUUAGGUAGCGCCUCGUGAACUCAUCUCCGGGGGUAGAGCACUGUUUCGGCAAGGGGGUCAUCCCGACUUACCAACCCGAUGCAAACUGCGAAUACCGGAGAAUGUUAUCACGGGAGACACACGGCGGGUGCUAACGUCCGUCGUGAAGAGGGAAACAACCCAGACCGCCAGCUAAGGUCCCAAAGUCAUGGUUAAGUGGGAAACGAUGUGGGAAGGCCCAGACAGCCAGGAUGUUGGCUUAGAAGCAGCCAUCAUUUAAAGAAAGCGUAAUAGCUCACUGGUCGAGUCGGCCUGCGCGGAAGAUGUAACGGGGCUAAACCAUGCACCGAAGCUGCGGCAGCGACACUAUGUGUUGUUGGGUAGGGGAGCGUUCUGUAAGCCUGUGAAGGUGUGCUGUGAGGCAUGCUGGAGGUAUCAGAAGUGCGAAUGCUGACAUAAGUAACGAUAAAGCGGGUGAAAAGCCCGCUCGCCGGAAGACCAAGGGUUCCUGUCCAACGUUAAUCGGGGCAGGGUGAGUCGACCCCUAAGGCGAGGCCGAAAGGCGUAGUCGAUGGGAAACAGGUUAAUAUUCCUGUACUUGGUGUUACUGCGAAGGGGGGACGGAGAAGGCUAUGUUGGCCGGGCGACGGUUGUCCCGGUUUAAGCGUGUAGGCUGGUUUUCCAGGCAAAUCCGGAAAAUCAAGGCUGAGGCGUGAUGACGAGGCACUACGGUGCUGAAGCAACAAAUGCCCUGCUUCCAGGAAAAGCCUCUAAGCAUCAGGUAACAUCAAAUCGUACCCCAAACCGACACAGGUGGUCAGGUAGAGAAUACCAAGGCGCUUGAGAGAACUCGGGUGAAGGAACUAGGCAAAAUGGUGCCGUAACUUCGGGAGAAGGCACGCU